Molecule: non-coding RNA, 366 nt
Organism: Chlorocebus sabaeus (green monkey)
Lineage: Eukaryota; Metazoa; Chordata; Mammalia; Primates; Cercopithecidae
Source: RefSeq, a predicted model, not a curated record
UUGCCGUUCGCGCUGACCAAUAGGAGUGGUGGCCGUCACGGCAAGCCCCGCCCCACGCCCUACGUCGCGUUAAAUGGGGUCCCUCGCUAGCUCCGAGCUGGUCUUACGCCAUGUGGAGCUGUGGCGCGCGGAAGGGGUUGAGUUCGCUGAGGCGGCUGAGCGGCGGCAUGCACACCACAGAGCGUGGCGAUGGAACAGUAACCGGGCUUGUGAGAGGGCUCUACACUAUCAACUAGGAGACAAGAUCACGGAUUCACCAUAAACCAGGACAGGGAUAAAGACGUGCACACCUGCAGUGCGGACUUUCACAGCCUGGCAAUGAGGGCUUUCAGCCUCACAGGUAAAUGUCACCUGUUUCACCACCUC